AAUAUUAUUGGUAACUUAAAAGAAUAUUGCAGUAAUAAUGUUGAGUAGUGGACAUAGAUUAUAGUUGCUGUAAAACUGUAACAACUUCAACCAUUUACAUUCGAACUUUGCUCGAAUAUUCCCUAAGCGAAGCCGACCGAAGUAUGAAUAUAUUAGCAAGGAAUUUUUGGAAAUUCUACAAUUGUCGUAUGAAAUAAAAAACCUAUAAGUAAGGAUCCGACAACAAUUUUUGUAAGAAAAACAAAAUAAUCAAAACGGUAGAAGACAGAGACGUUAUUUGACGUAAACAAUUUUGUAAGAGUCAUAUCAUUUGAUGCUAUCGUAGCCAUAGCUGUAGUUUAUUAUAACUUUGGUUUAGUACAUAUGAAGUCUAAGAAAAGUUCCAAAUUACGUAUAGCUUUAAGUUUUUGAUAUAUGUUUGGAACUGUUUCAAGAAAAGAAAAGACCGUAAGCUAUAUUGAUAUGGAUAAACGCUUGUAACAAAAUCUACUUAGUUCUUUAUAAAUUAAAGAAAGACACAUUUCUACAUCAUUUCCCUGGCGGAAAAAUUUUCUACAAAAUUCUAAAAAACUACAAAAAUUUACAAAAGUGUUCCAAUUCUAGCACAUUUUUCUGUAGAAAUUACAAAAAAAUGCUAGAAUUGGAACACUUUUGUAAAUUUUUGUAGUUUUUUAAGAAUUGUGUAAAAAUUUUUCCGCUAGGGUGGAUUGGGCAAUACAACUAUAUUUAGCAUAUAUGAAGAAAAGUUAUCCUGUAGGCCUAUUCUGUAAUUCAUAACGACAGUUCGGUAUCAUUAUGUUGUCGUUGCGCAGUUUUUUUGUCAUAUAUAAUAUGUGCGCAAUGACAAUGUAAUGAUAUCGACACUGUCGUUAAGAGUUACAGAAUAGGUCUACUAAUCCUAUAUAUAUCAACUAUUGUUGAUGUUAAAGAAGAAGAAUCGAAUUUUAGAAUUAUCUUACAAAGAGAGAGACUACAUUUUACAACUUUACGGAAUAUAGCAGUUCAAUAUUCUCUACAACCGAAAGACAGGCAAGACUUUGUGAUACACAUGUAUAACUUCUUAAAGAAGCACUUGUCUUGUUGGAAACGAUGUCUGAGGGAAAACCAUUUCGCGAAGACAUUCUCCAUUGAGUUUUAACUGUAUUCGAAUUAUAUAGAUAUCUUCUGAUAAACCAUCGUUUUGUCGAAGUUAAAAAUUAUAUGGCUACUGCAGAUUACGUGACGUAUAAAUUUUCCGAGGACUUAUUGGAAACUCUAAAUCAACAAGACAAUAAAUCAAAAUUGUGUUAUGUCUAUUUGUCCAAUAAUUACGAUUAUAUUCGUGGCAUUAUUGUUGGAUUUUGGAGUACCUACAAAGUUUCACUUUUACGUUUUUGAUAGAAGCAAUUGUAAAAAAACAUAGGUAAAUGCAAGAUAGAUACUUCAGGAACUGAAAAAGAAUUAACAAAUUUUCUAAUAUUUUUCUAACUUAAAAGAAGAAACUGAAUAUAUAACUAAUCAGAUCCUAAAUACAUGUGUAUUAAAUCUCGAAGAUGCCAAAUCCAUUUUUGAAAAAAUUAUAAAGCACCUUAAUUGAUGAAGCAAAAACAUAUCUUACUGCCAUCUGUGAUAUUAAAAAUUAUGCACAAGUAAUACUUGACGUUUCGGCGGCACAUAAAUAUUUAGCAGGUUUUUAAACAAUCCAAAGAAAACCAAUUAGAACUACAUAAACAGCGAGCACAGUAUUUACAGGAUGUUUGUAAGGAUUUUCAUACAAUUAAUAUAGGUGAAGAAUUUCAUAUUUAUAAACGGAUCUUGUGCGAAAUGGCAACUUCUUGUUCCGCGGUUAUACAUUUAACACUCAAGGAAGCAUAACUAUGAAAUUGAAGUAUUGGAGAAAAUUGAUCGAUUUACGAGGCUGAUUAAUUCAUAUCUAAAGAAUUAGAACUUUAGGAAAAUAUUUAGAAAAAAAAUCUUUAAUGUUUGCAUAUUUUUUUAUUUGUCACGUUAAGAAAUACACAUUUUUAUAUUUCUUUAUUGCAUAGAAGUCGUGUAAGAAAUAUGAGUCAUGAUGAACAAAUGUCUCCCUAUUAAUUAUUAGUAGCUGAUAUUAAAUUUAUCUGAGAAUAUCUCUUAAAUGUAUCCUCUCAUGAAAUAAUAUUAGAUAUAAUAAAAAUAGAUAGCCCACAUAUAUAUAUAGGAAGAUAUUUUUUAGAUUUUUAAAAGAUAUGUCAUGUGUCUUGAGAUGAAAAGAUAUUUUUCAGCAAUCUGAAAGAUCUUAUGCAACAUUUGAGAUAUGAUUUCAAAUAUCUGUAAGAUACCUCAAUUUUGAUGUAAUGUCAAAUAUCUGUGAGAUAUUUCAAUUUUGUGGAAUUAUUACACGUACAUUAUUAGUUA
Molecule: long non-coding RNA, 2376 nt
Filed under: Monomorium pharaonis (pharaoh ant)
Lineage: Eukaryota; Metazoa; Arthropoda; Insecta; Hymenoptera; Formicidae
Description: uncharacterized LOC114255298
Source: RNAcentral